RNAcentral lists this transfer RNA (74 nucleotides) under Gemmatimonadota bacterium. RNAcentral describes it as "tRNA-Arg". It matches the Rfam family "tRNA". From Rfam's summary of the family: Transfer RNA (tRNA) molecules are approximately 80 nucleotides in length. Their secondary structure includes four short double-helical elements and three loops (D, anti-codon, and T loops). The record is from RNAcentral. Lineage: Bacteria; Pseudomonadati; Gemmatimonadota. RNAcentral also lists the same sequence under 4 other names.
GCGCCCGUAGCUCAGCUGGAUAGAGCGCAUCCCUCCGGAGGAUGAGGCCAGUGGUUCGAAUCCACUCGGGCGCA